Bombus terrestris (buff-tailed bumblebee) is the source of this 546-nucleotide long non-coding RNA. RefSeq lists it as uncharacterized. The record is from RefSeq and is a predicted model, not a curated record. The transcript has 2 exons. NCBI's taxonomy places the organism in Eukaryota, Metazoa, Arthropoda, Insecta, Hymenoptera, Apidae.
ACAGGUAUCUUUGAUAACGGACAACGUCAUUUUAAUAUAUCGUUUUCAACAAAGCGGUAAUGAAAUUUUUGAUAAACGGAUUUUCGGUAAUAUCGAUAAAAUCAUCGUUCGCUAAACUAAAGAUCAUGACGUGCAAAACAUGGAAGCGUAUCACGUUUUCUUUUUGUGGAUAGAAAGAAUCGCUGAUACGAAGAAAAAGGAUAUUGUUCUGGCGUCACGCGUAAAAAGAAAUCUGCUUUAUCGUUUGUAAACAUAAUGUCAUCGUGCUGCCUUCUCUACGCACCCGUGUGUGUCGUUUGCGUUAAAAGUGUAUGGAUUCGGCUAAUAGAAAUACGAAAGGAGUGCGAGCGUCGACAAAUUUUAGUAAAUCUUCUUUUCCACUUUCACGUUUCCGAGGAAUCGAUAUAGGCGUUAACGUUUCGCCGAAGACGGAAAAUAUCGAUCGGUUUGAAUUUGAACAGUGGCGAGAAGGAGAGUAAAAGAUACGAUAUAAGUAGGUAAACCGGGCAAUGGUAUCGAAGAGGACUCACCUUGAUCCAGUUGAUC